This 119-nucleotide small nucleolar RNA is filed under the name Cavia aperea (Brazilian guinea pig). The record is from RNAcentral. Lineage: Eukaryota; Metazoa; Chordata; Mammalia; Rodentia; Caviidae.
CUGGCCCUGAAUCAAGACCGGCAGCUUCCUGACACUGUUGGUUUCAAACAGGAGCCUAAAUCAUCUGUUGGCCAUUUCAGAACUUGGACAGUGAAAUGGUCAAUUCAUUAGAAACAGCU